RNAcentral lists this ribosomal RNA (446 nucleotides) under uncultured bacterium. Its description in RNAcentral is "bacterial SSU rRNA". It matches the Rfam family "Bacterial small subunit ribosomal RNA", at positions 29 to 520 of the family's 1533-position model. The record is from RNAcentral.
AACGAACGCUGGCGGCAUGCCUAACACAUGCAAGUCGAACGAGACCUUCGGGUCUAGUGGCGCACGGGUGCGUAACGCGUGGGAAUCUGCCCUUGGGUUCGGAAUAACAGUUAGAAAUGACUGCUAAUACCGGAUAAUGUCUUCGGACCAAAGAUUUAUCGCCCAGGGAUGAGCCCGCGUAGGAUUAGCUAGUUGGUGAGGUAAAGGCUCACCAAGGCGACGAUCCUUAGCUGGUCUGAGAGGAUGAUCAGCCACACUGGGACUGAGACACGGCCCAGACUCCUACGGGAGGCAGCAGUGGGGAAUAUUGGACAAUGGGCGAAAGCCUGAUCCAGCAAUGCCGCGUGAGUGAUGAAGGCCUUAGGGUUGUAAAGCUCUUUUACCCGGGAUGAUAAUGACAGUACCGGGAGAAUAAGCCCCGGCUAACUCCGUGCCAGCAGCCGCGU